UACGUAUGGUGCAAGCGUUAUCCGGAUUUACUGGGUGUAAAGGGAGCGCAGGCGGCACGGCAAGCCUGAUGUGAAAGCCCGCGGCCCAACCGCGGGACUGCAUUGGGAACUACCGGGCUGGAGUGCCGGAGAGGUAGGCGGAAUUCCUAGUGUAGCGGUGAAAUGCGUAGAUAUUAGGAGGAACACCAGUGGCGAAGGCGGCCUACUGGACGGUGACUGACGCUGAGGCUCGAAAGCGUGGGGAGCAAACAGG
This 253-nucleotide ribosomal RNA is filed under the name uncultured bacterium. Its description in RNAcentral is "partial 16S ribosomal RNA". It matches the Rfam family "Bacterial small subunit ribosomal RNA", at positions 524 to 776 of the family's 1533-position model. The record is from RNAcentral.